This 706-nucleotide ribosomal RNA is filed under the name Streptomyces antibioticus. Its description in RNAcentral is "bacterial SSU rRNA". It matches the Rfam family "Bacterial small subunit ribosomal RNA", at positions 22 to 746 of the family's 1533-position model. The record is from RNAcentral. Lineage: Bacteria; Bacillati; Actinomycetota; Actinomycetes; Kitasatosporales; Streptomycetaceae.
GCUCAGGACGAACGCUGGCGGCGUGCUUAACACAUGCAAGUCGACGAUGAAGCCCUUCGGGGUGGAUUAGUGGCGAACGGGUGAGUAACACGUGGGCAAUCUGCCCUGCACUCUGGGACAAGCCCUGGAAACGGGGUCUAAUACCGGAUAUCACUCUUGCAGGCAUCUGUGAGGGUCGAAAGCUCCGGCGGUGCAGGAUGAGCCCGCGGCCUAUCAGCUUGUUGGUGAGGUAAUGGCUCACCAAGGCGACGACGGGUAGCCGGCCUGAGAGGGCGACCGGCCACACUGGGACUGAGACACGGCCCAGACUCCUACGGGAGGCAGCAGUGGGGAAUAUUGCACAAUGGGCGAAAGCCUGAUGCAGCGACGCCGCGUGAGGGAUGACGGCCUUCGGGUUGUAAACCUCUUUCAGCAGGGAAGAAGCGAAAGUGACGGUACCUGCAGAAGAAGCGCCGGCUAACUACGUGCCAGCAGCCGCGGUAAUACGUAGGGCGCAAGCGUUGUCCGGAAUUAUUGGGCGUAAAGAGCUCGUAGGCGGCUUGUCACGUCGGGUGUGAAAGCCCGGGGCUUAACCCCGGGUCUGCAUUCGAUACGGGCUAGCUAGAGUGUGGUAGGGGAGAUCGGAAUUCCUGGUGUAGCGGUGAAAUGCGCAGAUAUCAGGAGGAACACCGGUGGCGAAGGCGGAUCUCUGGGCCAUUACUGACGC